CAAUUUAAACAACGAAGAGUUUGAUCCUGGCUCAGGAUGAACGCUAGCGACAGGCUUAACACAUGCAAGUCGAGGGGCAGCACAGGUAGCAAUACCGGGUGGCGACCGGCGCACGGGUGAGUAACGCGUAUGCAACUUACCUAUCAGAGGGGGAUAACCCGGCGAAAGUCGGACUAAUACCGCAUGAAGCAGGGGUCCCGCAUGGGGAUAUUUGCUAAAGAUUCAUCGCUGAUAGAUAGGCAUGCGUUCCAUUAGGCAGUUGGCGGGGUAACGGCCCACCAAACCGACGAUGGAUAGGGGUUCUGAGAGGAAGGUCCCCCACAUUGGUACUGAGACACGGACCAAACUCCUACGGGAGGCAGCAGUGAGGAAUAUUGGUCAAUGGGCGUAAGCCUGAACCAGCCAAGUCGCGUGAGGGAUGAAGGUUCUAUGGAUCGUAAACCUCUUUUAUAAGGGAAUAAAGUGCGGGACGUGUCCCGUUUUGUAUGUACCUUAUGAAUAAGGAUCGGCUAACUCCGUGCCAGCAGCCGCGGUAAUACGGAGGAUUCGAGCGUUAUCCGGAUUUAUUGGGUUUAAAGGGUGCGUAGGCGGCCUUUUAAGUCAGCGGUGAAAGUCUGUGGCUCAACCAUAGAAUUGCCGUUGAAACUGGGGGGCUUGAGUAUGUUUGAGGCAGGCGGAAUGCGUGGUGUAGCGGUGAAAUGCUUAGAUAUCACGCAGAACCCCGAUUGCGAAGGCAGCCUGCCAAGCCAUGACUGACGCUGAUGCACGAAAGCGUGGGGAUCAAACAGGAUUAGAUACCCUGGUAGUCCACGCAGUAAACGAUGAUCACUAGCUGUUUGCGAUACAGUGUAAGCGGCACAGCGAAAGCGUUAAGUGAUCCACCUGGGGAGUACGCCGGCAACGGUGAAACUCAAAGGAAUUGACGGGGGCCCGCACAAGCGGAGGAACAUGUGGUUUAAUUCGAUGAUACGCGAGGAACCUUACCCGGGUUUGAACGCAUUCGGACCGAGGUGGAAACACCUUUUCUAGCAAUAGCCGUUUGCGAGGUGCUGCAUGGUUGUCGUCAGCUCGUGCCGUGAGGUGUCGGCUUAAGUGCCAUAACGAGCGCAACCCUUGCCACUAGUUACUAACAGGUGAUGCUGAGGACUCUGGUGGGACUGCCAGCGUAAGCUGCGAGGAAGGCGGGGAUGACGUCAAAUCAGCACGGCCCUUACAUCCGGGGCGACACACGUGUUACAAUGGCGUGGACAAAGGGAAGCCACCUGGCGACAGGGAGCGAAUCCCCAAACCACGUCUCAGUUCGGAUCGGAGUCUGCAACCCGACUCCGUGAAGCUGGAUUCGCUAGUAAUCGCGCAUCAGCCAUGGCGCGGUGAAUACGUUCCCGGGCCUUGUACACACCGCCCGUCAAGCCAUGGGAGCCGGGGGUACCUGAAGUCCGUAACCGCGAGGAUCGGCCUAGGGUAAAACUGGUGACUGGGGCUAAGUCGUAACAAGGUAGCCGUACCGGAAGGUGCGGCUGGAACACCUCCUUUCU
RNAcentral lists this ribosomal RNA (1535 nucleotides) under Parabacteroides distasonis. Its description in RNAcentral is "bacterial SSU rRNA". It matches the Rfam family "Bacterial small subunit ribosomal RNA". The record is from RNAcentral. Lineage: Bacteria; Pseudomonadati; Bacteroidota; Bacteroidia; Bacteroidales; Tannerellaceae.